AUAGACCUGCUCUCUAAAACAAAAUAUUUUAAGUGUCUUUCGCCAAAAGUUUACAAACGGAAUAACCAGAAAAACAAAAUUUAUUAUUUGGUUAUUUCAUAUUUCUUAUCAAUAACGUGCACAAAAAGUGAAAUUAAAUGUUGAGCAGGGAUCGGGAUCGGAAUCGGGACCUGCCGCCUCAUUGAAACUGUGGUGCCCAUGCCUGUAAGGCUGAUUUCCGUACGACUUUCUCAACAGUUCACAUUAAUUUUUCCUCAUCUGGAAGCUUCUCCUUAUACUCAUGCAUCCUCUCGGACAUCAGCGGUUUGCAGCCCUCGUCCUUGAAGAACAUGACAAUGGCCUGGAACAAAGACGGAGAAUGUCAUCGUUUUUGAUAUCCCUAAUGUGGGUGCGCAGUAUUGAAUCUGGAUAUUGGCAAGUAAAGAGGCAAGGAACGUGAAGCUUAGGCUGGAAGAAUGCGGGCUUCUAGCUAUGUCCAGUGAUUUCUUCGCAGAUCGUCGAUGGCCUUAUCCAGCAUGGCGGCUAGGGUCUCCAGGAGCCACUUACAUACAAAGGUGUGGGAUACAUCCUGCCUGUAGCAUCUGAAACAGUCAUCAGAGAUCCACUUUGCGAGAGACUUCUCGACUGGCUGCUCAGACUUUCUCACCAGAAUUCUAGUCAAGUGUGCGUACAGUGGUCUCCCAGCACUUCUCCUCUUGCGAAUACCUCAUCUAGUGUGCCCUGGACACAACUGUCAACUUGAAUUGUUGAAAUACUAAAGAAAAGGAAACGUUUAGUCAUUCGCCACUCAAAAGUCGUCGAGGAUAG
This is a long non-coding RNA of Drosophila subpulchrella, 807 nucleotides long. RefSeq lists it as uncharacterized. NCBI's taxonomy places the organism in Eukaryota, Metazoa, Arthropoda, Insecta, Diptera, Drosophilidae. The record is from RefSeq and is a predicted model, not a curated record. The transcript has 3 exons.